UUUGACAGUACCAUGAAAACAAUGUCCGAUCCAAUGUCGCUUGUUGAGACGUUGACACUCAAUUAAAAGAACUAACAAAUAAGGGCAAAUAACUGUGAUACUCACGUAAUAUUCAUCCUUGCAAAUUUGUGUCUCGUCAUCGCAGCAUUACACAUCACAACAGACGAAAUCCCCAAUCUACAAUGAGUAGUGCUUCUAAAUGCUUCUAAAUCUGUUAGUGAUUCCAGAUUGUUGACGAAAUAUCAUCUUCUCUUCACGUUUCGAUGGCCAUUGAUGUUCGGCUGAAGAUGCUGCCUAAUGAGGAGAUGGUGAAAGGUGUGUUUAAAGCUGUUGCUGCUACUGUCCUUGGUGUCACAGUUCAGUGUGUUGUUCGUUAAUUUGUCUGUCAUGUAAAAUCUCUUCCAUCUUUGUCACUUAAAUCUCAUCCACACAGUAUAUGAUUGAGGCAACCUGAUCUUACAUGAUCUAAGAGUGAUUCAAUCGACUCCUACUAGAUCAAAAAACAGUCUGCGCCAAACAAAUAAUAACGAUUAUCGCGGUUGAGAAAAAACCCUGUCAUCCAAUAAAAUUAUGGGUCUUUUGUUUAA
This is a long non-coding RNA of Daphnia pulex (common water flea), 587 nucleotides long. RefSeq lists it as uncharacterized. NCBI's taxonomy places the organism in Eukaryota, Metazoa, Arthropoda, Branchiopoda, Diplostraca, Daphniidae. The transcript has 2 exons. The record is from RefSeq and is a predicted model, not a curated record.